CCUACGGGGGGCAGCAGUGAGGAAUAUUGGUCAAUGGACGAGAGUCUGAACCAGCCAAGUAGCGUGAAGGAUGACUGCCCUAUGGGUUGUAAACUUCUUUUAUAAAGGAAUAAAACGAGGCACGUGUGCCUUUUUGCAUGUACUUUAUGAAUAAGGAUCGGCUAACUCCGUGCCAGCAGCCGCGGUAAUACGGAGGAUCCGAGCGUUAUCCGGAUUUAUUGGGUUUAAAGGGAGCGUAGAUGGGUUGUUAAGUCAGUUGUGAAAGUUUGCGGCUCAACCGUAAAAUUGCAAUUGAUACUGGCAGUCGUGAGUACAGUUGAGGUAGGCGGAAUUCGUGGUGUAGCGGUGAAAUGCUUAGAUAGCACGAAGAACCCCGAUUGCGAAGGCAGCUUACUAAACUGUGACUGACAUUGAUGCUCGAAAGUGUGGGUAUCAAACAGGAUUAGAUACCCCAGUAGUC
This 460-nucleotide ribosomal RNA is filed under the name uncultured bacterium. RNAcentral's name for it is "partial 16S ribosomal RNA". It matches the Rfam family "Bacterial small subunit ribosomal RNA", at positions 338 to 795 of the family's 1533-position model. The record is from RNAcentral.